This 420-nucleotide ribosomal RNA is filed under the name bacterium. Its description in RNAcentral is "partial 16S ribosomal RNA". It matches the Rfam family "Bacterial small subunit ribosomal RNA", at positions 355 to 776 of the family's 1533-position model. The record is from RNAcentral.
UGGGGGAUAUUGCACAAUGGGCGAAAGCCUGAUGCAGCGACGCCGCGUGGGGGAUGAAGGCUUUCGGGUUGUAAACCUCUUUCGCUAUCGAACAAGGCCCGCUUAGGGUGGGUUGAGGGUAGGUGGAGAAGAAGCGCCGGCUAACUACGUGCCAGCAGCCGCGGUAAUACGUAGGGCGCGAGCGUUGUCCGGAAUUAUUGGGCGUAAAGGGUUUGUAGGCGGCUUGUUGCGCCUGCUGUGAAAACGCGGGGCUUAACUUCGCGCGUGCAGUGGGUACGGGCAGGCUUGAGUGUGGUAGGGGAGACUGGAAUUCCAGGUGUAGCGGUGGAAUGCGCAGAUAUCUGGAGGAACACCGAUGGAGAAGGCAGGUCACUGGGCCAUUACUGACGCUGAGGAGCGAAAGCAUGGGUAGCGAACAGG